CAUUCCAGGUUCGUGUCAAAACCAGCGUGAAGUCUCUGAAAGGUGGAAAAGAACACUAUAAGGAAGGAGAUCACAGGUGACAGCUGGGCAGCACAAUUCAGGAGACACAAUCAAGGAGGAGCCAUUAAGCAAAGCACCCUGUUUGUUGGAAAGAAUCCCUGAAGGACAUAACAGGAAAGCAAGAAUCACGGAGAACAAAAAACGGUGGGAUCCAAAUCCAAAAUACCCAGCCAGAGAGCAGAGAAUCAACAUGCCAAGUCAGUGCCAGUUCCACCACACUCUGAGCAGUGGGAAGGACUGAUUCUACUAAAGAGCAUGGGAUGGAGGAUGUCUUGCACUUGAGGUGCUCUUUGGCUUCUGCUUUGAAGAAUGACUGCAAUUGAAUCCAAUGGCCAACUGAGAAGGUCUUCCCAGGAUGAGGCAGACUCCCAUUUAUCGAGCCCAGAUGUGCAGAAGCAGUGCCUGCUGCAUUUAAGGGAGAGGAAAUGGUCCCUUCAUCAUGUGGUGGAAGACAGAAACAAUAGGGAAAAUUUUCUGCAAUUUCAAGUUGUUUUUUUUUUUUUUCUCCAGGCCUAAAAUGGGAUUCUUAAAGUGUAUGGAUCCUUUCAAGUCUAAUGCUUUGCUGUUUUUGGUUAAUUUCCAUUGUAAAUAUUCAUAUUUAGCAGUGUCAAAUCCCACGCAGCAUUCACAAAUUCCCUGAAUUUUCCUGUUCGGUAAUGAGAAAUGAAUGAAUGCAUGGGUGUAAAUAGAUAUGGG
Molecule: long non-coding RNA, 756 nt
Organism: Ictidomys tridecemlineatus (thirteen-lined ground squirrel)
Lineage: Eukaryota; Metazoa; Chordata; Mammalia; Rodentia; Sciuridae
Source: RefSeq, a predicted model, not a curated record